GAUGAACGCUGGCGGCGUGCUUAAUACAUGCAAGUCGAACGGAGAUCUUUGUAGUAAUACGGAGUUUCUCAGUGGCGAACGGGUGAGUAACGCGUUGGUGACCUGCCCCGAAGUGUGGGAUAACAGUCCGAAAGGAUUGCUAAUACCGGAUGUGCUCGUGCUGGUUAGAGUAGUGCGAGUAAAGGAGUAAUUCGCUUCGGGAGGGGCCUGCGUCCCAUCAGCUAGUUGGUAAGGUAACGGCUUACCAAGGCGGUGACGGGUAGGGGACCUGAGAGGGUGGCCCCCCACAAUGGAACUGAAACACGGUCCAUACACCUACGGGUGGCAG
This 328-nucleotide ribosomal RNA is filed under the name uncultured Chloroflexota bacterium. Its description in RNAcentral is "bacterial SSU rRNA". It matches the Rfam family "Bacterial small subunit ribosomal RNA", at positions 28 to 351 of the family's 1533-position model. Lineage: Bacteria; Bacillati; Chloroflexota. The record is from RNAcentral.